RNAcentral lists this ribosomal RNA (198 nucleotides) under uncultured bacterium. RNAcentral describes it as "partial 16S ribosomal RNA". It matches the Rfam family "Bacterial small subunit ribosomal RNA", at positions 1303 to 1500 of the family's 1533-position model. The record is from RNAcentral.
GUCUGCAACUCGACCGCAUGAAGUCGGAAUCGCUAGUAAUCGCGAAUCAGAAUGUCGCGGUGAAUACGUUCCCGGGUCUUGUACACACCGCCCGUCACACCAUGGGAGUUGGAAGCGCCCGAAGUCUGUGACCUAACCGAAAGGGAGGAGCAGCCGAAGGUGAAGCCAGUGACUGGGGUGAAGUCGUAACAAGGUAAC